CAAACAUGUCACAGUAAUCAAUACCAUCUGUGUUAAGAUGUCGGGAAUGUGUUAGACGAAUGAUUUUGUUUUAUGGAGCUUUGAAGAGCGAUGAAUGGCACUAAAGUGGUGCCAAAUGGAUAUCUCAAACACCCAUUGUUGAUGUGUGAUGCUGAUAAUACAGAGACAGCUAGAGUGACAGAGUUUGAUGAAUAAACUUAAAUUAAAAAACAGAAAUAACCACCAUCUCUCUCAGAGGUCAUCUUUCUCAUUAUUGUGGGGAAACCUCAAAGGGCAUCAGGAAAACCUUCAUCAACCUCUUUGUGCCCAGUGGCUUGUGCAACAGUGUUUCAGAAAUUAUCAUUAAAAUGGGGAUAAUGGAUGACUGGCCACACAUAUGGGGCUAUGGACAAGCUUCAGAGCAGGCUGCCAGGUGGUGGUGUUAGUAGUUUAUACUCCGGGUCCCGGCGUGAGCACAUUGAAGGGUCCCUGAGAGUGACAGUUCAACCACCGCACACCUAUCCUGGGCAGAACCAGUACUAGGUGCCUUCACCUCUGCAAGGAACUGACAACUUCUGUACAUGCCAGGUGCAGUGGUACAGUGCGAAUGGUCGUAGAAAGGAUUUCAUAACCAAUCACAACAGAGGUGACCUGGUCCGCCCGGGAAUCGAACCCGGGUUGUCCAAUUCAGAGUCCAACGCUCUACCGAUUGAGCUGACCGGGCGGACAUAUUAGCUACAUUAGAUGACAAGCCAUCUAUGCUGGACAUUCUUCACAAUAAAAUGUGAUGUCACAGGAGCUGUCUAUCUCAACAGCUCACACUGUCCGUAUUUGACUAAAGGAAUGAAUGAAGUCACUGCAGAAGUUAGAUUGAGGAAUGUCCAUGUCACUACCCAUCAUUUGGAAGGAGUUGGAUAAAAAAAGUGUGGCCUAUGUA
Mya arenaria is the source of this 916-nucleotide long non-coding RNA. RefSeq lists it as uncharacterized. The transcript has 4 exons. Lineage: Eukaryota; Metazoa; Mollusca; Bivalvia; Myida; Myidae. The record is from RefSeq and is a predicted model, not a curated record.